UACCCUUGACAUGUACGGAAGCCUCUCGAGAGGGAGGCGUGCCCGAAAGGGAGCCGUAACACAGGUGCUGCAUGGCUGUCGUCAGCUCGUGUCGUGAGAUGUUGGGUUAAGUCCCGCAACGAGCGCAACCCUUGUCAUUAGUUGCUACAUUCAGUUGGGCACUCUAAUGAGACUGCCGGUGACAAACCGGAGGAAGGUGGGGAUGACGUCUGAGAGUACGUCC
Molecule: unclassified non-coding RNA, 223 nt
Filed under: uncultured Gammaproteobacteria bacterium
Lineage: Bacteria; Pseudomonadati; Pseudomonadota; Gammaproteobacteria
Description: contains 16S-23S intergenic spacer region
Rfam family: Bacterial small subunit ribosomal RNA
Source: RNAcentral